RNAcentral lists this ribosomal RNA (511 nucleotides) under uncultured bacterium. Its description in RNAcentral is "partial 16S ribosomal RNA". It matches the Rfam family "Bacterial small subunit ribosomal RNA", at positions 28 to 523 of the family's 1533-position model. The record is from RNAcentral.
GACGAACGCUGGCGGCGUGCCUAAUACAUGCAAGUCGAGCGGAAGUUGGAGAGCUUGCUCUUUAACUUUAGCGGCGGACGGGUGAGUAACACGUGGGCAACCUGCCCUGCAGAUCGGGAUAACUCCGGGAAACCGGUGCUAAUACCGAAUAGUUUUCGCCACCUCCUGGUGGCGUACGGAAAGACGGUUUCGGCUGUCACUGCAGGAUGGGCCCGCGGCGCAUUAGCUAGUUGGUGGGGUAACGGCCAACCAAGGCGACGAUGCGUAGCCGACCGGAGAGGGAGAUCGGCCACACUGGGACUGAGACACGGCCCAGACUCCCACGGGAGGCAGCAGUAGGGAAUCUUCCGCAAUGGACGAAAGUCUGACGGAGCAACGCCGCGUGGGUGACGAAGGUUUUCGGAUCGUAAAGCUCUGUUGUGAGGGAAGAACAAGUACCACUUAACUACUGGUACCUUGACGGUACCUCACCAGAAAGCCACGGCUAACUACGUGCCAGCCGCCGCCGUAA